GGUAGUAGCAAAUACUCAAGUGAGAACCUUGAGGACUGAAGUGGAGAAGGGUUCCAUGUGAACAGCAGUUGAACAUGGGUCAGUCGGUCCUUAGGGAAAGGAGAAAUCCUUUCAGAAGCGGGCGCGUUUGUGCAGCUCAGUCUGUGAAUCGGAGACGCCCCGCUGCAACCAAAGGGAAUCGGGUUAACAGUCCCGAACCCGGCUACGGAGGUCGGUCCUUCGGGACCCAGUGCGGCAACGCAAACCAGCUCGGAGACGCCGAUGGGAGCCGCGGGAAGAGUUUUCUUUUCUCUGUAAGGAGAUCGAGUCCCUGGAAUGGGUUCACCCCGAGAUAGGGACGGUGGCUCCGUAGAGCAGUGCGACUCUUGCGCUGUCCGCAGCGCUCCUGUCGGCCCUUGAAAAUCCGAGUGAGGGAGUGUGAUUUUCGUGCCGGACCGUACCCACAUCCGCAGCAGGUCUCCAAGGUGAACAGCCUCUAGUC
Molecule: ribosomal RNA, 481 nt
Filed under: Haemaphysalis longicornis (longhorned tick)
Lineage: Eukaryota; Metazoa; Arthropoda; Arachnida; Ixodida; Ixodidae
Description: Eukaryotic large subunit ribosomal RNA
Rfam family: Eukaryotic large subunit ribosomal RNA
Source: Rfam by way of RNAcentral